AGCGAACGCUGGCGGCAGGCCUAACACAUGCAAGUCGAACGAACUCUUCGGAGUUGGUGGCGGACGGGUGAGUAACACGUGGGAACGUGCCUUUUGGUUCGGAAUAACUCAGGGAAACUUGUGCUAAUACCGAAUGUGCCCUUCGGGGGAAAGAUUUAUCGCCAUUAGAGCGGCCCGCGUCUGAUUAGCUAGUUGGUGAGGUAACGGCUCACCAAGGCGACGAUCAGUAGCUGGUCUGAGAGGAUGACCAGCCACACUGGGACUGAGACACGGCCCAGACUCCUACGGGAGGCAGCAGUGGGGAAUCUUGCGCAAUGGGCGAAAGCCUGACGCAGCCAUGCCGCGUGAAUGAUGAAGGUCUUAGGAUUGUAAAAUUCUUUCACCGGGGACGAUAAUGACGGUACCCGGAGAAGAAGCCCCGGCUAACUUCGUG
RNAcentral lists this ribosomal RNA (433 nucleotides) under uncultured bacterium. RNAcentral's name for it is "partial 16S ribosomal RNA". It matches the Rfam family "Bacterial small subunit ribosomal RNA", at positions 29 to 507 of the family's 1533-position model. The record is from RNAcentral.